This 516-nucleotide ribosomal RNA is filed under the name Amphisbetia distans. RNAcentral's name for it is "Sertularia distans partial large subunit ribosomal RNA". It matches the Rfam family "Bacterial large subunit ribosomal RNA", at positions 1876 to 2560 of the family's 2925-position model. Lineage: Eukaryota; Metazoa; Cnidaria; Hydrozoa; Leptothecata; Sertulariidae. The record is from RNAcentral.
UUUAAUUAUAAUAAAUAAAAUUUAUGAAAAAAAAUUUAAAGGACGCGGUAACCUUGACCGUGAUAAUGUAGCAUAAUCAUUCGCCAUUUAAUUGAUGGAUAGUAUGAAUGGUUGAACGAAUAUUUCACUGUCUUAAAAAGAAAUAACAAAAAACUAGGAUAAUAGUAAAGACACUAUUUCAGAUUGUAAGACGAAAAGACCCUAUAGAGCUUAACUAUAAUCUCUUUACAUAGAAAGAAUAUAAUUCCUAAAUAAAGAGACUGGUAGUUUAGUUGGGGCGACUAUCUUUUAAAAAAAACAAAGAUAAGCAAAGUAAAUAAUAAACUUAUUGUAUAAAGUAUGGAUUUAACAAUUAUAAAAAUAGGCUAUAAUGACCCGUUGUUAUUUAAUAAAAAAUACAACGAUCAAUAAAUAAAAGCUACCUUAGGGAUAACAGGAUAAUUUUAUUCUAGAGAUCUUAUCGAAAAUAAAGUUUGUCACCUCUAUGUUGAAUUAAGAUAUCCUGGUAAUGCAGCA